GUGGGGAAUAUUGGGCAAUGGGCGAAAGCCUGACCCAGCAACGCCGCGUGAAGGAAGAAGGUCUUCGGAUCGUAAACUUCUAUCCUUGGUGAAGAUAAUGACGGUAGCCGAGAAGGAAGCCCCGGCUAACUACGUGCCAGCAGCCGCGGUAAUACGUAGGGGGCAAGCGUUGUCCGGAAUGAUUGGGCGUAAAGGGCGCGUAGGCGGCCUGGUAAGUCUGGAGUGAAAGUCCUGCUUUUAAGGUGGGAAUUGCUUUGGAUACUGUCGGGCUUGAGUGCAGGAGAGGUAAGUGGAAUUCCCGGUGUAGCGGUGAAAUGCGUAGAGAUCGGGAGGAACACCAGUGGCGAAGGCGACUUACUGGACUGUAACUGACGCUGAGGCGCGAAAGUGUGGGGAGCAAACAGGAUUAGAUACCCCAGUAGUCC
This 425-nucleotide ribosomal RNA is filed under the name uncultured bacterium. RNAcentral's name for it is "partial 16S ribosomal RNA". It matches the Rfam family "Bacterial small subunit ribosomal RNA", at positions 354 to 796 of the family's 1533-position model. The record is from RNAcentral.